UCCCUCUCAGAGUCACACCUGGAGAGUUUUCAGUACUCUACCAGUCUCAACUAUGGGAGAGAGAGUCAAGCAGAGACACCCAUUCCAUUCCUAGUUUGGACAGUGCCUAGUGAGUGGAAGGCAAUCUGCUUCAAAU
Molecule: small nucleolar RNA, 136 nt
Filed under: Ornithorhynchus anatinus (platypus)
Lineage: Eukaryota; Metazoa; Chordata; Mammalia; Monotremata; Ornithorhynchidae
Source: RNAcentral